AUUAAGUGAGCAUGUUCAGUGUUAGACUAGGUCUUCUAUGACAAUUCUGAAUCAAAUCUAUAAAGCUUUGAUGUCUGUUGCUCCACUGCUGACUUCCUUCCCCUGUUCUUGCAGCUGGUCUGCGGAAAGUGACCACUGAUAACUCUCCUUAUCUGCCACAAUCACAUAAACAUACUCCUGUUCCAGUAUCAUUCUCUUAAUGAGACUGUGCUUUUGCUUUUCAGGUUUUUUUCACUGCUUUUUACCUUUCUUUUCAAUUAUAUUCUGCCUGUGAAAGGAAAAGAGAGAUACAAAGAAGUCACAAGGAGGCCUGCAGAGAUGUGGAUUCCAAAUCAUUUUAUGGAAAAGUUCAUGUUUGUUGCAGGAUGUUGUUACUGCAUCAGGUCAACUUGGAAUAAAAUAUGGUGGCUUAACUGGAGGUUCUGGAGGUUCCAGCUCUGUUCACUGACGGAAGUCUAUACAUACACCGGCAAGAAUCACAGUUAUUUUUAGAAUUUGAUAUGCCUCUUCACUGUGCGCAAUACCUGCAACCAGCGAGAAAAGGAGACCGAUGCCUGGGAAAGGAGUUGAAGGCAGACAAACACUAUUUUAAGGAAGCUAUGAAAAACUGGUUCCUACCGCUGCCAUAAAGUAUUUUAGAUUGGAAAAAAAUAAUUACUAACUGCUGUAUUUACACUUCCCUAUUAAUUUUUACUAUGAGAAAACGUGAGCUCAACAGGAAUACAACUAAAAAAUUCAGAAGUGUUAUAAAUAUAUCACAGAAAUCUUAAGGGAAAAUAAUAUCCUAGCAUUUUUAGUCUGGACACUUAGUAUGUGGGUACUUUUCUGUAAUUUUGCUCUUAAUCCGUCUCUCUGUCAGUUUUCUAUUUGGAAAAUUACGGUAAAUCCAUGUAUUCGCUUAAGUAUACUGUGUAAUCAACCUUUCAGAUAUUAUGAUGAGGGUAAUUAAAAAUGUACUUCCAAAAGUUCAGGGCUUGGAUUUUUUUUCUCUGAUCAGUACCUUUUUAUUUUAAUGAAUUGCUCUCAUACUUAAUGAGCCCUGGGAGCCCAAAACAUGGGUUUAAUUAUUACUCUGA
Pipra filicauda (Wire-tailed manakin) is the source of this 1076-nucleotide long non-coding RNA. RefSeq lists it as uncharacterized. The record is from RefSeq and is a predicted model, not a curated record. The transcript is spliced from 3 exons. Lineage: Eukaryota; Metazoa; Chordata; Aves; Passeriformes; Pipridae.